Molecule: ribosomal RNA, 209 nt
Filed under: uncultured bacterium
Lineage: Bacteria
Description: partial 16S ribosomal RNA
Rfam family: Bacterial small subunit ribosomal RNA
Source: RNAcentral
CCGUGGGUACCUCCCUUGAGGUGAGGAAUACCACCGAGAAAUCGGUGACAAUACCGCAUAGCUUCGGCAACGAAGAAAGUCACGCAAGUGACGCCACAAGAUGGGCCUGCGCCUGAUUAGCUAGUUGGUGAGGUAACAGCUCACCAAGGCUUCGAUCAGUAGCUGGUCUGAGAGGAUGAUCAGCCACACUGGGAUUGAGAACGGCCCAG